AACGAACGCUGGCGGCAGGCUUAACACAUGCAAGUCGAACACCCCGCAAGGGGAGUGGCAGACGGGUGAGUAACGCGUGGGAACGUACCUUUCAGUUCGGAAUAACUCAGGGAAACUUGUGCUAAUACCGGAUACGCUCGCAAGAGGAAAGAUUUAUCGCUGAAAGAUCGGCCCGCGUUGGAUUAGCUAGUUGGUGGGGUAAUGGCCUACCAAGGCGACGAUCCAUAGCUGGUCUGAGAGGAUGAUCAGCCACACUGGGACUGAGACACGGCCCAGACUCCUACGGGAGGCAGCAGUGGGGAAUAUUGGGCAAUGGGCGAAAGCCUGAUCCAGCCAUGCCGCGUGAGUGAUGAAGGCCUUAGGGUUGUAAAGCUCUUUCACCGAUGAAGAUAAUGACGGUAGUCGGAGAAGAAGCCCCGGCUAACUUCGUGCCAGCCGCCGCAGUAA
RNAcentral lists this ribosomal RNA (447 nucleotides) under uncultured bacterium. RNAcentral describes it as "partial 16S ribosomal RNA". It matches the Rfam family "Bacterial small subunit ribosomal RNA", at positions 29 to 523 of the family's 1533-position model. The record is from RNAcentral.